This 274-nucleotide ribosomal RNA is filed under the name Buchnera aphidicola (Brevicoryne brassicae). RNAcentral's name for it is "partial 16S ribosomal RNA". It matches the Rfam family "Bacterial small subunit ribosomal RNA", at positions 8 to 277 of the family's 1533-position model. Lineage: Bacteria; Pseudomonadati; Pseudomonadota; Gammaproteobacteria; Enterobacterales; Erwiniaceae. The record is from RNAcentral.
AGAGUUUGAUCAUGGCUCAGAUUGAACGCUGGCGGCAAGCCUAACACAUGCAAGUCGAGCGGCAGCGAAAGAAAGCUUGCUUUCUUGUCGGCGAGCGGCAAACGGGUGAGUAAUAUCUGGGGAUCUACCCAAAAGAGGGGGAUAACUACUAGAAAUGGUAGCUAAUACCGCAUAAUGUUGAAAAACCAAAGUGGGGGACCAUUCCGGCCUCAUGCUUUUGGAUGAACCCAGACGAGAUUAGCUUGUUGGUAGAGUAAUAGCUUACCAAGGCAAA